AGACCCGAAACCCGGUGAUCUAGCCAUGGGCAGGUUGAAGGUUGGGUAACACUAACUGGAGGACCGAACCGACUAAUGUUGAAAAAUUAGCGGAUGACCUGUGGCUGGGGGUGAAAGGCCAAUCAAACCGGGAGAUAGCUGGUUCUCCCCGAAAGCUAUUUAGGUAGCGCCUCGUGAAUUCAUCUCCGGGGGUAGAGCACUGUUUCGGCUAGGGGGCCAUCCCGGCUUACCAACCCGAUGCAAACUGCGAAUACCGGAGAAUGUUAUCACGGGAGACACACGGCGGGUGCUAACGUCCGUCGUGAAGAGGGAAACAACCCAGACCGCCAGCUAAGGUCCCAAAGUCAUGGUUAAGUGGGAAACGAUGUGGGAAGGCCCAGACAGCCAGGAUGUUGGCUUAGAAGCAGCCAUCAUUUAAAGAAAGCGUAAUAGCUCACUGGUCGAGUCGGCCUGCGCGGAAGAUGUAACGGGGCUAAACCAUGCACCGAAGCUGCGGCAGCGAACGUAUCACUUAAAGCGAUUCAGCGGGUUACGAUUGACGGAGCGAAGCGACGUCAAAGCGUAUACAAAGUCGAGUCGGUUUAAGGAUACGUUCGUUGGGUAGGGGAGCGUUCUGUAAGCCUGCGAAGGUGGCCUGUGAGGGUUGCUGGAGGUAUCAGAAGUGCGAAUGCUGACAUAAGUAACGAUAAAGCGGGUGAAAAGCCCGCUCGCCGGAAGACCAAGGGUUCCUGUCCAACGUUAAUCGGGGCAGGGUGAGUCGACCCCUAAGGCGAGGCCGAAAGGCGUAGUCGAUGGGAAACGGGUUAAUAUUCCCGUACUUGGUGUUACUGCGAAGGGGGGACGGAGAAGGCUAUGUUGGCCGGGCGACGGUUGUCCCGGUUUAAGCGUGUAGGCUGGUUUUCCAGGCAAAUCCGGAAAAUCAAGGCUGAGGCGUGACGACGAGGCACUACGGUGCUGAAGCAACAAAUGCCCUGCUUCCAGGAAAAGCCUCUAAGCAUCAGGUAACACGAAAUCGUACCCCAAACCGACACAGGUGGUCAGGUAGAGAAUACCAAGGCGCUUGAGAGAACUCGGGUGAAGGAACUAGGCAAAAUGGUGCCGUAACUUCGGGAGAAGGCACGCUGACACGUAGGUGAAGUGAUUUACUCAUGGAGCUGAAGUCAGUCGAAGAUACCAGCUGGCUGCAACUGUUUAUUAAAAACACAGCACUGUGCAAACACGAAAGUGGACGUAUACGGUGUGACGCCUGCCCGGUGCCGGAAGGUUAAUUGAUGGGGUCAGCGCAAGCGAAGCUCCUGAUCGAAGCCCCGGUAAACGGCGGCCGUAACUAUAACGGUCCUAAGGUAGCGAAAUUCCUUGUCGGGUAAGUUCCGACCUGCACGAAUGGCGUAAUGAUGGCCAGGCUGUCUCCACCCGAGACUCAGUGAAAUUGAACUCGCUGUGAAGAUGCAGUGUACCCGCGGCAAGACGGAAAGACCCCGUGAACCUUUACUAUAGCUUGACACUGAACAUUGAGCCUUGAUGUGUAGGAUAGGUGGGAGGCUUUGAAGCGUGGACGCCAGUCUGCGUGGAGCCGACCUUGAAAUACCACCCUUUAAUGUUUGAUGUUCUAACGUGG
Molecule: ribosomal RNA, 1618 nt
Filed under: Salmonella enterica
Lineage: Bacteria; Pseudomonadati; Pseudomonadota; Gammaproteobacteria; Enterobacterales; Enterobacteriaceae
Description: partial 23S ribosomal RNA
Rfam family: Bacterial large subunit ribosomal RNA
Source: RNAcentral